AACAUAAAAAACAACAAACGUUUUCUGCGCGCGUUCCCCCAAGAAGUCCUGUGUGCCGUUCCAGCAGCAAAUUUCCACCGUUUGGCUGUCGACUGAAGGGAAUCGGUAGCCGUCGUGAUUAUCAGGACAGACAAGAAAAAAGCCACCAGCGAUGUUUGCAACAGAAAGAAUUUUUCUGUAUGUGUGCGUGCUCCAUUCCCGUAUACGAUUCAGAAUACGGUACGCAUAACGUUGGAAGAACGUCAUAUCGGAUCGUUUUAUAAUUAUUACUGUAAAUGUUCAGUUACAAGUGAACUUUAAGAAUGACUCUAACAUAAACAGUUUGAUGGCAAGAA
Molecule: long non-coding RNA, 335 nt
Organism: Uranotaenia lowii
Lineage: Eukaryota; Metazoa; Arthropoda; Insecta; Diptera; Culicidae
Exons: 2
Source: RefSeq, a predicted model, not a curated record